CCAACCAACCAUCACCCACCAACUGACCCCCACCCAUCGACAGACCACUAACCAACUGUCAAAUUCACAGAUCACUCUAAUCAGGAGUCAAAGUGAAUCACAUACCAUGAAGAAUGAACCCAAGAAUUGAGAAGAAUCCAAAAAAGACACAUGCGUUUGCAAUGGAGCUCAGUGGACCGAGGCUUCUCACUUUCCUCACAUACGUUUGCAGGAGGAAAAUUGUUUCUGAUACUGAUCACUACUGCCCUCGUAGGAGCAAUGGUAGGUGGAGUUCAUGAUUUGAUCGAUCGCAGCCUUCUUACACUUCACA
This is a long non-coding RNA of Dendronephthya gigantea, 310 nucleotides long. RefSeq lists it as uncharacterized. The record is from RefSeq and is a predicted model, not a curated record. The transcript is spliced from 3 exons. NCBI's taxonomy places the organism in Eukaryota, Metazoa, Cnidaria, Anthozoa, Malacalcyonacea, Nephtheidae.